This 415-nucleotide ribosomal RNA is filed under the name uncultured bacterium. RNAcentral describes it as "bacterial SSU rRNA". It matches the Rfam family "Bacterial small subunit ribosomal RNA", at positions 91 to 507 of the family's 1533-position model. The record is from RNAcentral.
GGCCGCGGGAAUUCGAUUGGAACACGUGUGCAACCUGCCUUUAUCUGGGGGAUAGCCUUUCGAAAGGAAGAUUAAUACCCCAUAAUAUUUUGAAUGGCAUCAUUUAAAAUUGAAAACUCCGGUGGAUAGAGAUGGGCACGCGCAAGAUUAGAUAGUUGGUAGGGUAACGGCCUACCAAGUCAGUGAUCUUUAGGGGGCCUGAGAGGGUGAUCCCCACACUGGUACUGAGACACGGACCAGACUCCUACGGGAGGCAGCAGUGAGGAAUAUUGGACAAUGGGUGAGAGCCUGAUCCAGCCAUCCCGCGUGAAGGACGACGGCCCUAUGGGUUGUAAACUUCUUUUGUACAGGGAUAAACCUUUCCACGUGUGGAAAGCUGAAGGUACUGUACGAAUAAGCACCGGCUAACUCCGUG